GUUUAAAGCCAUACCUCCCCAAAUACACCCUCAUCUGAUCUUGGAAGCUAAGCAGGGUCGUUGGCCUGGUUAAUACUUUAAUGGGACACUGCCUGGGAAUUCAGGAUGCUUUAAAAA
Molecule: ribosomal RNA, 117 nt
Filed under: Callithrix jacchus (white-tufted-ear marmoset)
Lineage: Eukaryota; Metazoa; Chordata; Mammalia; Primates; Cebidae
Source: RNAcentral